RNA transcript from Ostrea edulis (European flat oyster), 3323 nucleotides. It is a transcript of the gene named translocon-associated protein subunit alpha-like, with no coding region annotated. The transcript is spliced from 8 exons. The record is from RefSeq and is a predicted model, not a curated record. NCBI's taxonomy places the organism in Eukaryota, Metazoa, Mollusca, Bivalvia, Ostreida, Ostreidae.
UCAAAGAGUAACUUUCAUUGGUUGAUGUAAAUAGAUAAUCCAAUGAAAAUACGGAUAACAUUUACAGUAAAAUUUGCCGGUGUCGACGUACGAAAGGAAGACGAAGACUCCACGAAAAUCCAUCGGCAUCGUGGCAGUUUGGACGAAUUAAAAGAAUAUCAAAAUGUGGUCUCUAUUUGGGAAGAUGAUGCUGGUUUUGCUGCUGGUGCUUCCAUGUACAGUUAUGGUAUUUGAAAAUGACAAGAUGUCUGUGUAUGCUCAGGACGGUGAUGCAGUGGAAGGUGAAGAUGACGAAGACACUGUUGUUGAAAAUGAGGAUGGUACAGAUGAUGCAGAACAGGCAGUUACCGAAACCGAGAAGGGAGAAGAUGAAGAGGAAUCAACAGAUGACGAGCAAUUAAAACCUUCACCCGAUGCUGAUGCAGUUAUGCUCUUUACAAAGCCUGUUGGCACAACUGAUUUGCCGGCUGGUGAGACUAUUCGAUUUUUAGUUGGAUUCACAAACAAAGGAGAGAAGACUUUCACUGUCCAGUCACUGGAGUGCUCUUUCAGAUACCCUCAAGAUUACAACUUCUUCAUUCAGAAUUAUACUACAGCCCAGUAUAACCAGGAGGUGGCUUCCAGGAAACAGGCUACGUUUGAAUAUGGAUUUACCCCUAACGAAGGAUAUGCCGGUAGACCAUUCGGAUUGUCCAUCUUGCUGAAUUACAAGGAUGAGGAUGGAAACGCAUUCAUGAGUGCAGUUUUCAAUGAAACUGUGAACAUAGUGGAACCAGAUGAGGGAUUGGAUGGAGAAACGUUCUUCCUGUAUGUAUUCUUAGCAGCUAUUGCGGUUUUGCUAAUGGUUGGUGCUCAGCAACUCCUGGCAAAUUUCAGCGUAAGUAUAAAAAAUAGACCAGUUUUCAUAGUUUCUGUUUGUAGGAAGAUGGUUAGUAGAGCGGGGACGAUGGCUUGACAAAUUGUUAAACCUGUAGUUUGUGAUGUUGAACAUGAUUCCUCUCAAAUUAAGUAAUGAAUUUUACCAUACUCUAAGUGCAGAAAGGUCAUUUUUCAUUUUCAAUCUACUUGCAAUGCAUUUAAUUUAAUAAUUGAUUUGUAUUCCUUGUGAUUUGUUGACACCAACAGACAAAACUAGUGAAUAUGAAUACAUUGCAAGUAAAUUUUACCUGCAAAAGGGUUAAGUUCUUCAUAAUUCCACUUAGGAACUCCAGGUAGAAAUUUAAAAUAUACUCCCCCGAAAAGAUUGACAUUGCUACAAACCUCAUGUGCGAACCUUUUAAACCUCUCAUACUGGAGUGAGAAACUUGUAGAAUGUAGAACAAUGUAGAAAUGAAUAGUUGAAUGCAGGUUCAGAGGAAGCAAUAUACUUUCAUAGAUUUUGUCUUUCCUAAAACUUGCAAAAUUAAUUGGAGUUGUUUGAACCCUUAUGUGAUUUUGAUGCAGUAAGGGUAUAGAAGCUUCAUACAUUUGAUUGCUGUUGUUUUUUAUAGCAUAAGUAUCCCCAAGUUAUAUAUAUAUAUAUUGACUUUUCCCUAUGUACUCAAUACGUUUAUCCCUACACUAUCAUUUCAUGUUUUAACAAUGCCCUGCUUCAGAUUCAAACUCUGGACCACUUGAGUGCAAGGCAGACACAUUACCAACAGAGCUAUGAGGCCCCUUAAGCAGUUUAAUGAUAUUUAUGACCUAAAUACCAUGACUAAUUUUGAUAAUGGAUAAUAAUUUUGAUAAAGAAGUCUUUCGGUUUUUAAUACAAAGUUAUGUUUAAACUAAACCCACACCAUUAAUGGAAAAAAUAUUCAGAUGAUUGUGUCCAACAUCUGCAGAACAAAUAAAUGGCACGGUUUGCAGAAUGAAAAAAUUUUUUGUUGUGCCUCUAGAAUAAAGAGUGUGCAAGAAUUUGAAUAAAAAAAAAACCUGGUCAGAGGAUCUGACUAUUUAAAGAGAAGAAUUUAAGAUCUAAAAGAUCUAAGCACUUGACCAAUUUUAGCAUGAACAUCAUAAAUGAAUUUCUUCUACAGUUGUAAGUGCAUGAAUUUGGCUAUUUUAAUGAGAAAGGGUCACCAAUGGUGAAUACCUGAGGACUUUUGCUGAGACAUUAGAAUUGGACAAAUUUACAUUCAGCAUUAUGAUUUAAUGUUACAUUUUGAGUGUAUUAUGCCAAUAUAGUUGUCAAAAGUUUUGACACGUAGUGCAGGGUCAUACUCUGUGUGUUAAACCUCUUGAGUACUAAUUUUGGCAUAGUACUCACAAAAUGUAACUUGAAGAUAUAUUAUGUAACAUGCUAAAAGAUUGCUUGCUAUAGUCAUCCAUCUAGCAUACUGUAUAUCGGGUUUUUUCCGCGUGUGUCCAAUUUCCGCUUUGUUCGCGACGAUUUCCGAAUCGCGGGAAAGAAAUCCGCGUAAAUUUGAUACAAAGUUUGCUUUUAUGAUAAAGUUAUACGGCCGAUCUACCACGCACAUCUCAAAGUCUGUCGAAAUUCACAACCAUGAAAACAACGGCCUUGAUUCCCCGAUUUUUGCUUUUAUUAAAUAAACAAUAACUCCGGUUUUGUUAAUCAACCUCAUCCGACCCUGUGUUGAUUAUACGUUAACAAGUUGAUGGCUUGGGUAUAAUAAUUGAGUCAGUGUGUCGAUUUAACAAGAUCACAGCCGAACUAUUAGCAGUGCGUUUUAAAACAAAAGUGUUAGGGACGAUAAUUCCCAGAAUAGUCAUGCUCGACUGAACUCGAAAGUAGGAAUCGCGUUAUAAUCGAAAAAUGUACAGUCAUUGAAUAAAGGUCAAAUUUCGUGAAAUCGCACGAAAAUGUUGUAAAAAUCACGGUCGUUGGUCGCGUUAGACAAGUGGUCGUUUAAUACAGGUACAAUAGAUAGGGUAACGCCCUGGGGUGGAUUAUUACAGUCACAUAUAGCAGCGAGUCGCUUAUUUACUUGAAUGCAAAGUCGUUGUGUGAUCAGUAAUUCAGAAAUCUUGAAAAUCGUUUCAUUGUGUGAAUUUUUUGCAUCGAAAAUUAAGAGUUAUACUUUCACAAGCUGGUUUCUUUUAUAAGUUUAAAUAAUCGUGAAUAUUUUCACGAUGACUUUGCAAUAGUGAAAAUUUGAUUCACGUAAAUUUAAUACGCUAUUUUAGGUUCUGAUUCGCGGAAAAAACCUGAUAUACGGUAUAUUAGAUAAACGCUACUUCAGUCAAUUUUGAGUGUUCAGAGAACUUGUUUAGUGUUAUGUUCAGAGAACUUGUUAGGUGAUGUGGUAUGACCAAUUAAAAUUAAUUGAUAGAUUAUCAUCCCCGCCCGCCCCUUAAAAAGGGUCCACCCAGAUUUUUUUUUU